ACCAAGUUGUUUUCGAUGAUACGGUUUCCAAAUCGACGAUCGGCUCCAUUAGACUUGAUCUACACUAUUAAAAGUAUUUAGAAACUAAAUUUCAUAAUUUUUCGAUAUCAUUUACCUAUCAAACAAGUAGUCUAAAAUUGAACGGCUGAAAAUAAAAAUCUCGUAAAAAAUGAUAAUAAAAUAUUUAAAUUCAAGAUCAGAUAUACUGAUCUUACACUAAAUAGUGAAAAGAAUUUUUUAUAAAAUUUUCAUCGCAUUUGGAUUGUUUUACACCGUUAAACUCACAAACACACCACAUCGGCCAUUAAAAUUGUCAAUUUCGAGAUCUUUUGAUCACUAGUCAAAUGAUGUCGAAAAAAUCUGAAAUUUAGUUUCCAAAUACUUCCAAUAGUAUAGAUCAAGUCUAACGGAACCGAUCGUCGAUUUGGAAGCCGCAUCAUCAAAAACAACUUGGUAGCAUGGUGCCCUCCAUGCUACCGAUAGUAUAGUAGCCGGACUCUCUCUCUCUCUCUCUCUCUCUCUCUCUCUCUCUCUCUCUCUCUAUAUAUAUAUAUAUAUAUUUAUAUAUAUAUAUAUAUAUGAGUCCGGCUACUAUACUUUUAUGAGUAUAAGGCCUCUUAUACUCCUAAGUUUUUGGCCGUUUGAUCUACCUUUUAAUCAUUUUCACCCGUUAGAUUAUACUAUUCAACCAACCACCCACUCAACCCUUGGGGGCCCACUAUCAACCUAACUGUAACCACUCUCAUUCUAACCGCACAUUUUUUAUCUGAACGGUCAAAAAGUUAUAAGUAUAAAAGGCUCUAUUCUCAUAUGAGUAUAGUAGCCACAGCCUAUAUAUAUAUAUAUACAAUUUUUUGUUAUUACUCUAUUUGAGUUUGUGAGAGUCUAGCGUUUGGUUCGGGUAUAAGUAAGAACUAGCUAUUAUAAAGAUAGGUACAAGUAUGGGGAUAAGAAAAAUAGCGUUUGGAUGAAAAUUGGGUUGUUCCCGGGGAUAAGAAAAAUAGCGUUUGGAUAGAUAAUAUGGAAUAAGAAAAAUAGUUUGUAGUUAUAUAUAGAAAAAUGGAGGUGUUGGUGGGAAUAGUUAUACCAGGUUAUUUUAGGUACCCGAGAACUACUAUUUUUGAAUAAAAAAAUUUACGUUUGGGUAUAAAGGGAGGGAUAGGAGGUUAUCCCU
RNAcentral lists this long non-coding RNA (1174 nucleotides) under Ananas comosus (pineapple). RNAcentral describes it as "long non-coding RNA (ACOM_LNC028884)". Lineage: Eukaryota; Viridiplantae; Streptophyta; Magnoliopsida; Poales; Bromeliaceae. The record is from RNAcentral.